Molecule: unclassified non-coding RNA, 400 nt
Filed under: uncultured fungus
Lineage: Eukaryota; Fungi
Description: sequence contains ITS1
Rfam family: 5.8S ribosomal RNA (bases 1-105)
Source: RNAcentral
GAAUUGCGAAAAGUAAUGUGAAUUGCAGAAUUUCGUGAAUCAUCGAAUCUUUGAACGCACCUUGCACUUUCUGGUCCUCCAGAAAGUAUGCCUGUUUGAGUAUCAUUUAAACCCUCAUUCCCUUGAAGGGCGUUUGCUCGCUCCUUGAAGGAAAUGGUGUUGAGCGUCUGACGCGUCGACGGAUUGCGUGUGCAGUUUGCACGGGCGGUCCUUUGGCAGCAUGUGUCGGUUGCUUGAAAUGCAGCGUGGCUGUGCUUGACCCACAUCACACUGGCGUAUUAGUUCUCUUUCAAGAGAUUCCUUACGCAACCACAGUGUGGUCUCGACGGAUCCGCAGCCGCGACCCUUAACCACCUGGCGUGCUUGGCAGUUGACAAGCAGCUAGAAUUUUGAUCUCAAA